UUUCUGAUACUCUUUUGAACAUUCACUGUCUAUUUAAUCCUUUUAGGAUUCAUAAACCAUGAAUAUGGAAUUGGGCUAGCUUUAGACAUACAUGACCCUUAGGCUGACAAUUAUCUGUUCUGGGUCCUUUUAACGGCAGUGCGGUUUCUCUAGUCAGACAAAAUACUAGUGAUACUUGUGAAGUCCGACGAUGUUUAUCUUCCACUUGAUAUGCUAUUACYAUAGUUGCUAAAUUUGAAUUAUAGUGACUGAAUGCAAUCGAUGGCAUAAGCAAGAGGCCACUUUUAGGGGCAGAUAAGUUUUGUUGAACAACUUUACCACUAAGUGGUUCCUCUGUGUUUGGGUUGUUCCAAUUUUUAUGACAGUUAGCUCAUUAGUUUGGUUAGUUGGGCAAGCUGAACUAUUGGGUGAAGACUGAAACUUUUCAUGUCCAAUCCACUGUUGAUGAUAGAAAUGGUAGACUGAAUAGGUUGCUAGCUUGGUUUAGAUGCGAACUAAUCCAACGUCAUGCAUACAUCUUGUGCUGAGAGCUAAUGUUUCUUUGCUUAUUUUCGUUAUGGAAUGAAUCAUAAUUGGAUACCAUAUCAUGCACCUGAUCAUUUAUUAUGUUCUACUCUCUGAAUUUGUUCAUUUUGUAACCUGAGUUUAUGGGCAUGUAUAAAGUGUGCAAUGUCAAUUGGAUACAUAUGCGAUUGRCGCCUAGAGAGCAUGCUGUACUAAUAACACAGGAAGUUUACAUCAAUGUUUUGGGUUCAAGUCUCCAAGUGGAAAACUUAAUACAUGAGAAUCCUUGAUGUCCCCUGGAACUGGGUUUGGGGGUGCGAAGUCUGCUGAUCGAUCUGUAGGGUGGAKUCUGAUACUGUCAAUAUACCCAAUAAGGAGGAAAAAAAAAUCAUAUUUCGUAUUAUCUGAUGAUGGUUCAAUGGAUAUGAUGGAGUGGCAGCUGUAGUGAGCUCAGGGAACGAUGUUUAGGUUGAAAGGUUUCUCUUUUCCUCAACAAGACUGCAGUUCUAAGACGAUUAUCUUGUUUGAGAGUUGUUUAGUUUACACAAGAGAAACGGCUGGAGCAUGGAGCAAGUCAUUUGUUUGCCAACAUGAUAAUUCUUCUUUUACUGGCUGAAGUUCUGGUGUGUUUUGUUGGCUAUUGGGAAUGAUGCACAAAAAAUUGGAAUUUCCUGAUGGAUUACUGGUUGAUAUCAAGGAGUUUGAACAGUAAAAUUGAGGUUGUACAAAGUUGAUUAUUGUUUUUAGUUUGAAAUUCAUGUGCAAAGAGUACUUCAAGUUUGACUCUGCACUUGGAAGAUCUCAAAAGACAAGAUAUAAGACCUUCUGAAGCAAAAAAAGUAACUAGUUUUUGAAAAGUUGUGAUCAAAGAGAAGUUCUYCAUUGAACUGGGGAAAAUUACAAUCAUGUUCUUUUGUUAUAUUUUCAGCACAACAUAAAUGUAUAAACACUUCAAGGUUGAGCAAAUUUCUGGAAUUCGAGAAGAAUCCUGUAGGUUGCUAUAAUAGAACUAAACUAGAUAGAGAUCAAA
Non-coding RNA from Momordica charantia (bitter melon), 1534 nucleotides. NCBI's taxonomy places the organism in Eukaryota, Viridiplantae, Streptophyta, Magnoliopsida, Cucurbitales, Cucurbitaceae. The record is from RefSeq and is a predicted model, not a curated record.